This 327-nucleotide unclassified non-coding RNA is filed under the name soil metagenome. RNAcentral describes it as "partial contains 5.8S ribosomal RNA, internal transcribed spacer 2, and large subunit ribosomal RNA". The stretch from base 1 to 120 matches the Rfam family "5.8S ribosomal RNA", at positions 35 to 154 of the family's 154-position model. The record is from RNAcentral.
GAUGAAGAACGCAGCGAAAUGCGAUAAGUAAUGUGAAUUGCAGAAUUCAGUGAAUCGUCGAAUCUUUGAACGCACAUUGCGCCCCUUGGUAUUCCGAGGGGCAUGCCUGUUCGAGCGUCAUUUUGACCACUCCCGCUUGCGGGGUCUUGGGCCUUCGCCUCUGGGCGGGCCUUAAAAUCAGUGGCGGUGCCGUCCGGCUCUAAGCGUAGUAAAUCUCCUCGCUAUAGGGUUCCGGAGGGAUGCUGGCCAACAACCCCCAACUUUUAAGGUUGACCUCGGAUCAGGUAGGGAUACCCGCUGAACUUAAGCAUAUCAAUAAGCGGAGGA